RNAcentral lists this long non-coding RNA (1017 nucleotides) under Brachypodium distachyon (stiff brome). Its description in RNAcentral is "long non-coding RNA (BDIS_LNC000757)". Lineage: Eukaryota; Viridiplantae; Streptophyta; Magnoliopsida; Poales; Poaceae. The record is from RNAcentral.
GGGCUGAGGAGGAGAUGGGCGUGCGCUGCUCGUCGAGGCGGAGACGCUGGUGGCGGCGGCGCUCCUCGAGGACGUCGGACACCAUGCCUAGGACGGCAAUGGCGACGGCGGCGCGGGCUAGCUCUGGUCGUCGUUGGCUGCGAGCUGCAGUCCACGAAAACGAAGACAGCACGCGUCAAAAGAAGCGCAUGGAGGAGUAGAAGGAGAGAGGGCAGAAGAUGGGGGCACGGACCUCUUGGUGUGCCGGCGACAUCCAAGCGAAGGCGGCGGCGGUGCUAGGGUUCCGGCGAGCAAUCGCGGCGACGUGGGCGCGUGCGAGAGGGGGCGAGCAGAGGGAAAAGGAAGAGGGGGCUCCGGGCUUUUAAAGGACGCGGGUGGCUUGCUUUGGGAAGGCCGGAAUCACCGGGGACGGAGAUGGCGGCGACGAGUCCGGCACGGAUUCAGCGGCGCUUUCCUUCGGGGAGACGAAGGCCCUGACAGGUGGGCCCCACCUGUCAGGGGCUAGCGGGCGCGUGCGCAGCUGGCUGGGCCGGGCUUGCUCGGUCAGUUCACGCGGAACUGGGCCGGUUCGGCCCAUUUGGCCAGGCCGGUCCGGUUUACUCCUUUUUUUUUUCUUCUGGCCUUUUCUUUUUUUGUUUUUUCUGAUUUCUUUGAUAUCUUUUGAUUUUGAACUCCAAAUUGGUCCAAAUAAAUUUCAGAAAAUUCGUAAAAUCAUGUUUUAUCAUGAUUCAACUUUUGGGAGUAAUUUCCCCUCAAAAUAAAAUAUACAAAAAUACUUUUGCCCUAUAAAUGCCUUUAGGGCCUUAUAACUAUUUAAAUAAAAUAGUUUUUCAACUCCAAAUAAUUAUCCAAAAAUUAUGAGAUUGCCUAUUUAUGCAAUAAACCCCUUUUAUAGAUAAACCCUAUUGGUUUGACGAUCCAAAGUUCAUAUGGACGAAAACCCUAGGGUUUAAAUUGGAAUAAAAUCUUUUAAAACCUUUUGAGAUUCAAAUUUGAAUUGAAAUAUGCAAAAGUGGC